GAUUUUGUUAUCUGUGCAGGUGUUUGUUCGAUCUUAUUGGCUUCUUCAUAUUUUGCAUUUAAAUUUGGAUUAUUGUUAUUCAUCAAGACGUGGCAGUCUACUCCCCUAUUUUGGGUGUCACGAUCAAAAUAGCAGUAGGACAUCAAGCUACUGAUAUUAAGGUGUUCUUAUGUUUGUUUGGUGGGCUUUCAAGCCACUUGUGUUUGCAUUUUGUCCAAAACUCAUGAAGACUGAAGGUAUGCCUGGAAAAUCUUCAGUUUUAGGGAUCAAAGGAUCAUCUGGCGUAAUUAUGGAAAACAAUGAAUUGUCAGUGUUUUGCUGCUGAUCAUGUUUGCUGUUUUGCCAUCCAGGAUCUUCAGAAGAAUAGCCGGCAUAUCAUAUCAGGCACAUGUGGAGCCAAUUCAGAUCAUAGGCGGUAGAAGCAGUCCGAAGUAAAUCAGGAUGUUGAGUAAUGCUGGGAAUUUACUUGGUGCCCCCAACUGUAAAUGCGGAACUUGCCUAACCAGUGAUGGAACUAUGAAUCUCCUUGGAAGCAACAGAUUGAGUUGGGGGAAAGGUGUGGUUGACUGAGGCAGUCUUCUGCCACUGCAACAGACACACAAGAAUGGCACUGUUCGGUGGAUGCAGUUUGAACUGUUACUCGUGUUGCCCCUCCUUCGGUUCUUCCUUGGAUGCAGUCUACUUAAGAUAGUCCCAUCUCAGAUGGAUUUUGGUACACCUUCAUACUGUGCAUGCUGUACGAUGCAGAUAUAACAUGGAAUGGAAGGUACCAGCUGCCUGCCAGCCUUUUGAUGGCACUCACAACUUGUCUAUUCACAUUCAUAUCGUGCGUGUGAUGGUCAGGAACCAGGCUGCAUCUUCUGAAGAAAUCAACACUUCUCAUGUUGUUAACUGAAGAAAUUGACAGCCAGCGAUUGGCGCCAAAUUGGGUGGGCUCAUCGUCGACUGUCCGACCUCUAUCCAACAGCAACUUACCGCCUUGCCCCUAGUUACGACACACACCACCCUGAAGAGUGCAUCCAACGGCUCUGAAGAUUGGAGUUGUCGCCAUUUGAAUUAUUACAGUCUCCUUGUUCACCUGCUUUACAUUAGCUUUAAAGUUGAGAUUGCCUUUCACUGGUUGUAAAGGGUAUAAAACCCCUGAUCUAUCUGUGAGCCCUGUACUAGGGGUAAACCCUAGCCGCCAUGUCCUGAAGAGCGUAAACGGUAUCCUUAAUUUGCUAGUAUAUAUUUCUCCCGUAAUCAUCCUCUGAAUUCACUUAGCUAGCUACUUGGUGUGAUCUGAGAGUGAUUUGGUUUUCUCAACU
Triticum dicoccoides is the source of this 1307-nucleotide long non-coding RNA. RefSeq lists it as uncharacterized. The transcript is spliced from 7 exons. The record is from RefSeq and is a predicted model, not a curated record. Lineage: Eukaryota; Viridiplantae; Streptophyta; Magnoliopsida; Poales; Poaceae.